This 561-nucleotide ribosomal RNA is filed under the name uncultured yard-trimming-compost bacterium. RNAcentral describes it as "bacterial SSU rRNA". It matches the Rfam family "Bacterial small subunit ribosomal RNA", at positions 40 to 647 of the family's 1533-position model. The record is from RNAcentral.
CGGCAGGCCUAAUACAUGCAAGUCGAACGCUCCAGGAAUGGAGAGUGGCAGACGGGUGAGUAACGCGUGGGAACCUUCCCAGUGGUACGGAAUAGCCCGGGGAAACUCGGGGUAAUACCGUAUACGCCCGCAAGGGGAAAGAUUUAUCGCCAUUGGAUGGGCCCGCGUCGGAUUAGCUAGUUGGUGGGGUAAUGGCCUACCAAGGCGACGAUCCGUAGCUGGUCUGAGAGGAUGAUCAGCCACACUGGGACUGAGACACGGCCCAGACUCCUACGGGAGGCAGCAGUAGGGAAUAUUGGACAAUGGGCGAAAGCCUGAUCCAGCCAUGCCGCGUGAGUGACGAAGGCCUUCGGGUUGUAAAGCUCUUUUGGCGGGGACGAUAAUGACGGUACCCGCAGAAUAAGCCCCGGCUAACUUCGUGCCAGCAGCCGCGGUAAUACGAAGGGGGCUAGCGUUGUUCGGAAUCACUGGGCGUAAAGCGCACGUAGGCGGACUUUCAAGUCAGGGGUGAAAUCCCGGAGCUCAACUUCGGAAUUGCCUUUGAUACUGUUGGUCUCGAGU